CGAACGGUGAACCCUCUUCGGAGGGGGAUCAGUGGCGAACGGGUGAGUAACACGUGAGCAACCUGCCCCUAACUCUGGGAUAACUCCGGGAAACCGGAGCUAAUACCGGAUACGAGACACUCGGGCAUCCGAUGUGUCUGGAAGGAUUUAUCGGUUAGGGAUGGGCUCGCGGCCUAUCAGCUUGUUGGCGGGGUAACGGCCCACCAAGGCGACGACGGGUAGCCGGCCUGAGAGGGCGACCGGCCACACUGGGACUGAGACACGGCCCAGACUCCUACGGGAGGCAGCAGUGGGGAAUAUUGCGCAAUGGGCGAAAGCCUGACGCAGCGACGCCGCGUGAGGGACGAAGGCCUUCGGGUUGUAAGCCUCUUUCAGCAGGGAAGAAGCGAAAGUGACGGUACCUGCAGAAGAAGCACCGGCUAACUACGUGCCAGCAGCCGCGGUAAUACGUAGGGUGCAAGCGUUGUCCGGAAUUAUUGGGCGUAAAGAGCUCGUAGGCGGUUUGUCGCGUCUGCUGUGAAAACUCGGGUCUUAACCCCGGGCCUGCAGUGGGUACGGGCAGACUAGAGUGCGGUAGGGGAGACUGGAAUUCCUGGUGUAGCGGUGAAAUGCGCAGAUAUCAGGAGGAACACCGGUGGCGAAGGCGGGUCUCUGGGCCGUAACUGACGCUGAGGAGCGAAAGCAUGGGGAGCGAACAGGAUUAGAUACCCUGGUAGUCCAUGCCGUAAGCGUUGGGCGCUAGGUGUGGGGCUCUUUCCACGAGUUCCGUGCCGCAGCAAACGCAUUAAGCGCCCCGCCUGGGGAGUACGGCCGCAAGGCUAAAACUCAAAGGAAUUGACGGGGGCCCGCGCAAGCGGCGGAGCAUGCGGAUUAAUUCGAUGCAACGCGAAGAACCUUACCAAGGCUUGACAUGAACGGUAAUCCGGCAGAGAUGUCGGGUCCGUAAGGGCCGUUCACAGGUGGUGCAUGGUUGUCGUCAGCUCGUGUCGUGAGAUGUUGGGUUAAGUCCCGCAACGAGCGCAACCCUCGUUCUAUGUUGCAGCACGUAAUGGUGGGGACUCAUAGGAGACUGCCGGGGUCAACUCGGAGGAAGGUGGGGAUGACGUCAAAUCAUCAUGCCCCUUAUGUCUUGGGCUUCACGCAUGCUACAAUGGCCAGUACAAAGGGCUGCGAGACCGUAAGGUGGAGCGAAUCCCAAAAAGCUGGUCUCAGUUCGGAUCGGGGUCUGCAACUCGACCCCGUGAAGUCGGAGUCGCUAGUAAUCGCAGAUCAGCAACGCUGCGGUGAAUACGUUCCCGGGCCUUGUACACACCGCCCGUCACGUCACGAAAGUCGGUAACACCCGAAGCCGGUGGCCCAACCCUUGUGGAGGGAGCCGUCGAAGGUGGGACUGGCGAUUGGGACGAAGUCGAAACAAGGUA
This 1421-nucleotide ribosomal RNA is filed under the name metagenome. Its description in RNAcentral is "bacterial SSU rRNA". It matches the Rfam family "Bacterial small subunit ribosomal RNA". The record is from RNAcentral.